Molecule: long non-coding RNA, 818 nt
Organism: Rhipicephalus microplus (southern cattle tick)
Lineage: Eukaryota; Metazoa; Arthropoda; Arachnida; Ixodida; Ixodidae
Source: RefSeq, a predicted model, not a curated record
GUAAAUAGGACACUGCCAAACUUUCCCCAAUGUACAGUUCCUGUCUGAAAACAAAGACCGUCACUUUCUACGCAGACUAACUCCGUCCACUUCUCCAUCCAGAGCGGCGGGCGUCCUCUUCAAAGACCACCGCCCACGUUCCUGUCUCAAGCCUCGUCUCUGCCAGAAGUCUCUCGCUCGCGCUGCCACACCUAACGUGCCGUGCAAUUUUCUGUUUUUCUCUCUCACCCGAAUGCUCAUUCCGUCCACGAUGUUAUUGUUCUGUGCAACGGCAGACUGGCUUUGCCGUGCUUGCAUAUGUCUCUGUGUCAUUCUCAUCCGAUACUCGAACUUUUUCGUUUGCUUGCUUAUUGUUUUGCCAAAGGAGCUCCCGUGUGCGACUGGCUCAACGCUCGUAGUCUAAUUUAUUACGUCUUAGAGAUGGACUCGUUGCGACGUGCUAUAUACGACUCACGUUAGGCACGCAUUCCUGAAGCCACCGGAAUCGCAUUGUUGCAGAAGCAACGACACUUUCAGGGACACGUUUCCUUUCCAUACUCACUUUCAUGUCGUCGCAGGCGAUUUCUUUAUUCUCGCAGUCCUGUGGAGCUCUUUUUUGCCACUACGCUUCUGUUUUUAGUAAUUGUCAUACAGCUGCAACAUGUGUUUGAAAAAAAAGUGAAAAAAAAAAAGCCGCAGUGCGCAUUAUUUAUUGGUGUUUUUUUGCCUUUUACGUUCGCAUAUAUUGUGUGUGUGCAAGUGUUCGAACUGCGUGUUGUUUGUUGUUGUUUUGUAAUUUUCUGUGGCAAUUAAAAUAAACAUGUAGUGAGUGUGGUGAA